GAGGAAUGGCAGAGUGGUUGAAUGCGGCGGUCUUGAAAACCGUUGUGCCGCAAGGCACCGUGGGUUCAAAUCCUACUUCCUCC
RNAcentral lists this transfer RNA (83 nucleotides) under human gut metagenome. It matches the Rfam family "tRNA". From Rfam's summary of the family: Transfer RNA (tRNA) molecules are approximately 80 nucleotides in length. Their secondary structure includes four short double-helical elements and three loops (D, anti-codon, and T loops). RNAcentral also lists the same sequence under 1 other name. The record is from RNAcentral.